GAAGAGGUAAUCCCGCGGCGGCUGCUUGGCUGAGGUGUUCGCGGUGGCGGCGCGGCGGCCGCUUCCUUCUCCCGCCGCCGCCUCGGCGCCCGCCCGCCAUGGCAGGUUUUGAGGCGCCAGAAGAGCCCAGCAGUAGGUCCUUCUCCGAGACUCCCUGUCGGUGAAGAUGCGGGACCUCAACGGGGAGAGCCGGCCCGUCCAGACCGCCAGAGCGCUGGAGCGUGUGCAGAGCUUCUGACUCGGAGCGCACCUGUCCCCAGGUGAGGUCUGGGAGGAGCCUUAACUGCAGCCACCCCUGAGCGGGAAAGGGCAGGAGCAGCAGCAGCACAAUCCCUGCUGGGACGUCGCCACCUGCCUGAGCCUCCAGUUCGCCAUGGCCGGCACGGCCACGCUCUGUAAACCUGUGUGAAAAGUACUACGGGGGGACCUGCACGCCGGACUUCGCACUGCGUCUCAAGCCGUCGGAAUUCAGCCGUUUUAACUGUUGGGUGAUGCCACCUGGACCUUGGUGGUUUAUUUUUAAAGUAGGGUCUUAAAUAACAACGCAGAUUUCCCAAGACCAAAAUCCCAGAGGUGACACACUAAGUGACAGGAACCUCACCCGCAAGCCCAGGUCGCGGUGGCGUCCGGGGGCGGGACAGCGGGCUUCCAGGCUCCCGCGAGGGCAGGGCGCGUUCUGGUUACGGGCGCUGUGGACGGGCAGGAACGAAGCGUCUUGUCGUCCCUGCCUCUGAAUUAACGCGGACGGGGCCUCCUCAGUUCACCUUCAUUUGGGAAUCGAGGGUCACGAGUACAUUUAACUUAAAGCUGGCUCUUGCUGUGCGUUGCCGGAGGCACAGCUUACAGAUCUGACACGGGGAACAGAGUUGCUUAAGUACCCGUCAGCCCUGGUCCCUAAGGAGCAGCAGUUCUGGGAGUUCCCGUCGUGGCACAGCAGUAAUGAACCCAACUGGUAUCCAUGAGGACGCGGGUUCGAUCCCUGGCCUCGCUCAGUGGGCUAAGGAUCGUGAGCUGUGGUGUGGAGCGCAGACGUGGCUCAGAUCCCGCCUUGCUGUGGCUGUGGUGGAGGCUGGCAGCUGCAGCCCCGGUUCAGCCCCUAGCCUGGGAAGCUCCACAUGCCGCGGGUGUGGCCCUAAGGUCAAAAAAAUAAAGGAAAAAAAACUCUAG
RNAcentral lists this long non-coding RNA (1167 nucleotides) under Sus scrofa (pig). RNAcentral's name for it is "lncRNA (ENSSSCG00000027988.4)". Lineage: Eukaryota; Metazoa; Chordata; Mammalia; Artiodactyla; Suidae. The record is from RNAcentral.